AGAAUCAACGCUGGCGGCGUGCCUCAGACAUGUAAGUCGAACGCGAAAGUUUCCUUCGGGGAGCGAGUAGAGUGGCGCACGGGUGAGUAACACGUAGGUAAUCUACCUUUGGAUGGGGAAUAACAACCGGAAACGGUUGCUAAUACCGCAUGAUGCAGCGGCACCUAAUGGUGACAGUUGUUAAAGCGGGGGAUCGAAAGACCUCGCGUCUGAAGAGGAGCCUGCGGCUGAUUAGCUAGUUGGUAGGGUAACGGCCUACCAAGGCAACGAUCCGUA
This 276-nucleotide ribosomal RNA is filed under the name uncultured soil bacterium. Its description in RNAcentral is "partial 16S ribosomal RNA". It matches the Rfam family "Bacterial small subunit ribosomal RNA", at positions 26 to 285 of the family's 1533-position model. The record is from RNAcentral.